GCCGAGAUAGCUCAGUCGGUAGAGCACAGCACUGAAAAUGCUGGUGUCCCCAGUUCAAGUCUGGGUCUCGGCACCU
RNAcentral lists this transfer RNA (76 nucleotides) under Chloroflexota bacterium. RNAcentral describes it as "Chloroflexi bacterium tRNA-Phe". It matches the Rfam family "tRNA". From Rfam's summary of the family: Transfer RNA (tRNA) molecules are approximately 80 nucleotides in length. Lineage: Bacteria; Bacillati; Chloroflexota. The record is from RNAcentral.